This is a long non-coding RNA of Homo sapiens (human), 549 nucleotides long. RefSeq lists it as uncharacterized. Lineage: Eukaryota; Metazoa; Chordata; Mammalia; Primates; Hominidae. The record is from RefSeq and is a predicted model, not a curated record. The transcript has 3 exons.
GGAAGGGAAGGGACCCAGGCUAACAGACUCCAGAUACCAGCAGCAGCCCUUGAGCCAUGUUGCCUAAUUGUCCCCAAGGAGAAAACUUCCCAGGUCUUCGGAGGCAGCAAAAGCUUUCCUGGCACAGAGCUAGAAAAGAAGAUUCUCAUGGUGUCUCAUGUGGCAGGAACUACAGGAGCUGGGCCAAGAAGAGCCCAAGAAGACAUUACUACUAACUGUCACAUGGUGUCACGGAUGGGAUCUUCGGACAGAAAAAGGAAAUUGGGCCAGGCGCGGUGGCUCACGCCUAUAAUCCCAUCACUUUGGGAGGCUGAGGCUGUACAAGAAGCAUGGUGCCAGCAUCUGCUGCUAGUGAGGACCGCAGGAAGCUUCCUAUCAUAGUGGAAGAUGAAGGGGGGCCGACAAGAUCACGUGGUGAGCAACAGACAUGCCAGGUUCUUUCAAAGAUCCAGCUCUUUGAAAGAAUGAGUGAAAAGAGCAAGAAUUCACUCAUUACCACAGGGAGGGCACCAAGCCAUUCAUGAGGCAUCUGCCCCCAUGACCCAAACA